RNAcentral lists this ribosomal RNA (253 nucleotides) under uncultured bacterium. RNAcentral's name for it is "partial 16S ribosomal RNA". It matches the Rfam family "Bacterial small subunit ribosomal RNA", at positions 524 to 776 of the family's 1533-position model. The record is from RNAcentral.
UACGGGGGGAGCAAGCGUUGUUCGGAUUUACUGGGCGUAAAGCGCACGUAGGCGGCUUUGUAAGUUAGAGGUGAAAGCCCGGGGCUCAACUCCGGAAUUGCCUUUAAGACUGCAUCGCUAGAAUUGUGGAGAGGUAAGUGGAAUUCCGAGUGUAGAGGUGAAAUUCGUAGAUAUUCGGAAGAACACCAGUGGCGAAGGCGACUUACUGGACACAUAUUGACGCUGAGGUGCGAAAGCGUGGGGAGCAAACAGG